AAGUUUCAACAACGGAUCUCUUGGCUCUCGCAUCGAUGAAGACGCAGCGAAAUGCGAUAUGUAAUGUGAAUUGCAGAAUUCAGUGAAUCAUCGAAUCUUUGAACGCACCUUGCGCUCCUUGGUAUUCCUCGGAGCAUGCCUGUUUGAGUAUCA
RNAcentral lists this ribosomal RNA (153 nucleotides) under uncultured fungus. RNAcentral's name for it is "partial 5.8S ribosomal RNA". It matches the Rfam family "5.8S ribosomal RNA". From Rfam's summary of the family: 5.8S ribosomal RNA (5.8S rRNA) is a component of the large subunit of the eukaryotic ribosome. It is transcribed by RNA polymerase I as part of the 45S precursor that also contains 18S and 28S rRNA. Functionally, it is thought that 5.8S rRNA may be involved in ribosome translocation. The record is from RNAcentral. Lineage: Eukaryota; Fungi.